AUACAAUGAUGUGAACAUCUUCUCAAUAACUCUUUAUAUCUUUUCCAGGCUUCAUAUAACGAUUCUCCUUCCUACUACACAAAGGAUGUGAUUUCUCCUCUCAGUUU
Abrus precatorius (Indian licorice) is the source of this 107-nucleotide small nucleolar RNA. NCBI's taxonomy places the organism in Eukaryota, Viridiplantae, Streptophyta, Magnoliopsida, Fabales, Fabaceae. The record is from RefSeq and is a predicted model, not a curated record.